UCGAGAAUCUUUCGCAAUGGGCGAAAGCCUGACGAAGCGACGCCGUGUGAGUGAUGAAGGCCUUCGGGUCGUAAAGCUCUUUCGCUUGGGAACAAGAAAGGCCGGCUAAUAUCCGGCCGAUUUGAGGGUACUAGGUAAAGAAGCACCGGCUAACUCCGUGCCAGCAGCUGCGGUAAUACGGAGGGUGCGAGCAUUAAUCGGAUUUAUUGGGCGUAAAGGGCGCGUAGGCGGGAAGGUAAGUCAGAUGUGAAAUCCCGGGGCUCAACCCCGGAACAGCAUUUGAAACUGCCUUUCUAAGAGGAUGGACGGAGAAAAUGGAAUUCCACAAGUAGCGGUGAAAUGCGUAGAUAUGUGGAAGAACACCAGUGGCGAAGGCGAUUUUCUAGUUUAUACCUGACGCUAAAGCGCGAAAGCUAGGGGAGCAAACAGGAUUAGAUACCCGCGUAGUCC
This 450-nucleotide ribosomal RNA is filed under the name uncultured bacterium. Its description in RNAcentral is "bacterial SSU rRNA". It matches the Rfam family "Bacterial small subunit ribosomal RNA", at positions 355 to 796 of the family's 1533-position model. The record is from RNAcentral.